Ursus americanus (American black bear) is the source of this 926-nucleotide long non-coding RNA. NCBI's taxonomy places the organism in Eukaryota, Metazoa, Chordata, Mammalia, Carnivora, Ursidae. The record is from Ensembl.
CCCAGCCAGCGCCACCCCUGAGGCUUUCCAGCAGCGUGCGCGGUGCUUCGCUUUCCCCCAGACUUUUGCGUGGACCCACCCCACGGGUUUCUUGGAUGGGCACGCACCGCUUUGGGCUUUCGGAAGGGGCUAUCGCAGUUACGGGGGAAAGUCUGCGGCCAACUUUAGAACCCCCACCCCCCGCCAGUUUUGCUUCAGUUUCGCCAGCCAACCUGAACUCGGAGUUGCGGUCUGUAAGCGAAGCUGAACCUGCAACCUCUAGAGGGUUUUAGACGCAGAGGGGCGGGGAGGGCCUGGUUGCUGGGCUGGCUCAGGAGACCGCGCCUCAGAGGCCAAGAGCUCCCAAGCGACCGGAGGACCGCGGACCCGAAGGGGUAUUUCUGACGCCAACACCUGGUGCCGCGCUUUCGCUUUUUCCCGCCUGCAGUACUGCUGCGGACCCGAAGACGGUUUCUAACUGAAGCUGGAGAGAAAAUCAGGCCCGGUGGGUGUCGCAGGCUGGAGCGGACCCCUCCCACCCCCACCGGUAGGCGGGGAUGGGGGGUGUGGGUGGUGGCAGGGGAGUUGCAGAGCAAAGGGAGGAUUCAGUCCCAGGUCACUGCUCCUGGCCUAUACAGGUGCGACUGGUGUGAAAGGGAGCCGGCCCACUCCCUCACGAGGGCCAAGAAGUGCCACGAAGUUGUGAGACAUUCUGGAGGUUCGGAUUCUGGCGCAUUGAGACCGCAGGAAUUUCAGGUCUUCUCAUCCCCCCGCCCAUGCUUCUCAACACCACAUGCUUCGCACUUGUGAAUCCUGUCCAGUGGACACAGAUCUAUGUUGAAGGGGAAGCUAGUUUGAAGUUCCAGCCUCAACUCCACUCUGUUAUGAGCACCAACUGGAGAGAAUCACAUAAUAAAAUUUACAAACAGUCCUUUCCUGUGAUAUUU